UGAACGCUGGCGGCAGGCCUAACACAUGCAAGUCGAGCGGUAGAGAGNAGCUUGCUUCUCUUGAGAGCGGCGGACGGGUGAGUAAUGCCUANGAAUCUGCCUGGUAGUGGGGGAUAACGUUCGGAAACGGGCGCUAAUACCGCAUACGUCCUUACGGGGAGAAAGCAGGGGACCNUCCNGGNCCUUGCGCUAUCANAUGAGNCNAAGUCCGNUUANCUAAUUUGGGGANGNAAUGUGGGGUAAUGGCUCACCAAGGCGACGAUCCGUAACUGGUCUGAGAGGAUGAUCAGUCACACUGGAACUGAGACACGGUCCAGACUCCUACGGGAGGCAGCAGUGGGGAAUAUUGGACAAUGGGCGAAGCCUGAUCCAGCCAUGCCGCGUGUGUGAAGAAGGUCUUCGGAUUGUAAAGCACUUUAAGUUGGGAGGAAGGGCAGUAAAUUAAUAAUACUUUGCUGUUUUGACGUUACCGACAGAAUAAGCACCGGCUAACUCUGUGCCAGCAGCCGCGGUAAUACAGAGGGU
Molecule: ribosomal RNA, 525 nt
Filed under: Pseudomonas sp. PT9
Lineage: Bacteria; Pseudomonadati; Pseudomonadota; Gammaproteobacteria; Pseudomonadales; Pseudomonadaceae
Description: partial 16S ribosomal RNA
Rfam family: Bacterial small subunit ribosomal RNA
Source: RNAcentral